GGAAGAAGCGGGGAGAGACCAACAAUGACCUGUUUCUGGCAGAUGUGUUUUCCUACCAGGGGAAGUUCCAUGAGGCCGCCAAACUGUACAAGAGGAGUGGGCACGAGAACCUCGCGCUUGAAAUGUACACCGACCUCUGCAUGUUUGAGUAUGCCAAGGAUUUCCUUGGAUCUGGAGACCCCAAAGAAACAAAGAUGCUAAUCACCAAACAGGCUGACUGGGCCAGAAAUAUCAAGGAGCCCAAAGCCGCUGUGGAGAUGUACAUCUCAGCAGGAGAGCAUGUCAAGGCCAUCGAGAUCUGUGGUGACCAUGGCUGGGUUGACAUGUUGAUCGACAUCGCCCGCAAGCUGGACAAGGCUGAGCGUGAGCCCCUGCUGCUGUGCGCUACCUACCUCAAGAAGCUGGACAGCCCUGGCUAUGCUGCUGAGACCUACCUGAAGAUGGGUGACCUCAAGGCCCUGGUGCAGCUGCACGUGGAGACCCAGCGCUGGGAUGAGGUGUCGCCCGCAAUUAAAAGAAAUCUGUUUGCAGCACUACAGGAGCCCACGCAAAC
Molecule: small RNA, 553 nt
Filed under: Pongo abelii (Sumatran orangutan)
Lineage: Eukaryota; Metazoa; Chordata; Mammalia; Primates; Hominidae
Description: processed transcript
Source: RNAcentral